GGUUAAUGCUAAUGGCUCGUUCCAUCCACGGGAUUGCGUUGUUUCGGAAGCACCAGUGCAUAUGAACUAUGUGAGGGACAAUUGGGGGGGUAACCCCAGAGAUAGGUUUCUUAAUAUGUUGCCUGCCAAUCAUAACUAUCCUGUCAUUCCAGAAACUUCAGGAGCUCACUCCUUGCAGAUCUUGCAACCACCCUCUUCAUCUAGGGAUGAAAUAGCAGCAAGUAGAGUUGAAGAGCCUCCAGUGAAGAAGGAAGGUGGGAAAGCAAAGAAAAGACAGAAUAGUGAGGGUGGCCCCAAAACCCCCAAAGCUAAAAAACCAAGGAAACCGAAAGAUACUAGCAUGGCUGUGCAGCGUGUGAAACCACCAAAGAAGAAUAUUGAUCUUGUUAUAAAUGGGAUUGAUAUG
Molecule: unclassified non-coding RNA, 406 nt
Filed under: Hevea brasiliensis (rubber tree)
Lineage: Eukaryota; Viridiplantae; Streptophyta; Magnoliopsida; Malpighiales; Euphorbiaceae
Source: RNAcentral